Molecule: long non-coding RNA, 1032 nt
Organism: Psammomys obesus (fat sand rat)
Lineage: Eukaryota; Metazoa; Chordata; Mammalia; Rodentia; Muridae
Exons: 2
Source: RefSeq, a predicted model, not a curated record
CACUGGACACUGUGUACAUAUGUCAGGUGACAGUGUUCACAGAAACUGGAAGUCAACACAGUGAAUCAGCUCCUUUAUGCUGGAAGGGCUUGGUAAACUUAUGAGUCCGUGUGAGCGACCUGGAUUUGUUUCUAUAACUCAACAAGAUUCUAGGCUGCGAGGAUCCAGGCUCCAUUAAUGGGGUGUUCCAAGGGCUACAGGGUUCUGACCGUGAAGUUAGUCUUUCUGGUUUUGCGUAACGGCAGCAAAGAGAACACUUCUACCUAUGUCUGCAUCGGUGAACAGAUGGGUUUGUUGGGAUUACUUAUAGGAGCACCAUUAAGAGGUUGUCUCCAGCCAACCACGUCAACACCCCUUCCCUGAAGCUGCAGAAACUCUCCUGUUAGGAGUGUUCACCUUCUCUGUGCCCCAGCACCUCCAGACACCACAUGCAUCUGGAGAAGAACUGCAGACAGCUGGACAAGGUUGGCGACGGGGGCAGCUGGACUCCCAGGUGAGGCUCUAAUGACCCUCCCGAGUCCUCCCGCACAAGAAAGUCUACAGGCUGGGCCGUGUGGAGGCCCCUGCUGUCGUCACAGCUGCUCUGGGGAAGAUGGUGACGGCCGUGCUCCUCACCAGUGCUCAGGUCCUCAGUCCUCUCGCCUUUAGAAGACGUUGUUCUGUCUGCCGCAGAGGAAGAGAAAGAGGUCCUGGCCCGACUUCCACUUUACCCACCCAGCCAUCUCCCUGAAGUUUUAAUUAAUGUGAUUGUAACCAGUUGCCCUCAAUGAAAGUGUUUGGGAUUCUGGUUUCUCAGAAAUAAAAAGGGAUCAUUUCAGUCCCAUAAAAUAUUAUAAACUCUUUGAAAGUCCCUCUAUUGGUCUGCUCCCGUUAGAAUUUUGUAAUUUAAUUCCUUACAUUCUUGUGGUGUUCCCCAAUGUCACAAAGAUUAAUGUAUACAUGAACUGCCAGUGUGCGACAGAAAGUCUUUGCAAUUCUUUUCUUUUGAAAUUGUCAGUAGCUACAUAAAUAAACAGAAAUAUUGCUCUUGGA